This 254-nucleotide ribosomal RNA is filed under the name uncultured bacterium. RNAcentral's name for it is "partial 16S ribosomal RNA". It matches the Rfam family "Bacterial small subunit ribosomal RNA", at positions 524 to 776 of the family's 1533-position model. The record is from RNAcentral.
UACAGAGGUCUCAAGCGUUGUUCGGAUUCAUUGGGCGUAAAGGGUGUGUAGGUGGCGCCGUAAGUCGGGUGUGAAAGCUCCGAGCUCAACUCGGAGAGGCCACCCGAUACUGCUAUGACUCGAGUCCGGUAGGGGAGUGCGGAAUUCCUGGUGUAGCGGUGAAAUGCGCAGAUAUCAGGAGGAACACCAAUUGCGAAGGCAGCUCGCUGGGACGUAACUGACGCUGAGACGCGAAAGCGUGGGGAGCAAACAGG